GUGAGGAAUAUUGGUCAAUGGGCGGGAGCCUGAACCAGCCAAGUCGCGUGAAGGAAGAAGGAUCUAUGGUUCGUAAACUUCUUUUGCAGGGGAAUAAAGUGCAGGACGUGUCCUGUUUUGUAUGUACCCUGAGAAUAAGGAUCGGCUAACUCCGUGCCAGCAGCCGCGGUAAUACGGAGGAUCCGAGCGUUAUCCGGAUUUAUUGGGUUUAAAGGGUGCGUAGGUGGUUUGAUAAGUCAGCGGUGAAAGUUUGCAGCUUAACUGUAAAAAUGCCGUUGAAACUGUCGGACUUGAGUGUAGAUGAGGUAGGCGGAAUGCGUGGUGUAGCGGUGAAAUGCAUAGAUAUCACGCAGAACUCCGAUUGCGAAGGCAGCUUACUAAGCUACAACUGACACUGAAGCACGAAAGCGUGGGGAUCAAACAGGAUUAGAAACCCCUGUAGUCC
Molecule: ribosomal RNA, 445 nt
Filed under: uncultured bacterium
Lineage: Bacteria
Description: partial 16S ribosomal RNA
Rfam family: Bacterial small subunit ribosomal RNA
Source: RNAcentral